UUUUUAUUCUGCUUGCACUUAGUAUAGGGGUAACUUGAUUUGAACUGAGUUUGCAAAUAAUUUUUAUCCUGAAUUACAAAGUUUUAUAUGGUAACAUCCCUUCUUCGAACAAUGAUAUACAACCACAGGCAGUGGUUUCCUCGGCAUUCAUCUAAUUAUACUAAAUUACCACAUUAUCAUAUAUAUUACCUACCAGAAGCAACACACGUUUUUGUUUACCGUUAUUUAAUUAGUGCCAAUAAAUUCUUCAAAAUAUGUCAACAAA
RNAcentral lists this long non-coding RNA (265 nucleotides) under Mytilus galloprovincialis (Mediterranean mussel). Lineage: Eukaryota; Metazoa; Mollusca; Bivalvia; Mytilida; Mytilidae. The record is from RNAcentral.